AAUUCAUUGACCCUAGCAAGACUACCAAAAGCGAAAGCAGUUGGCUAGGCUAUACUCUUUGUGAUUAAUAGCUGUGUUUCUUACGUACGCUCAAGCGCUUAUCAAUCAUAUUCUGUGAUUCUCGCAUACACACACACACACACAUGCGUUAAGCAAUUUGCAAGAGUCGCUGAAUCAGAAUUUGGUGUUUAUGUGUGAGAGCUGUGAGAGUUGUUAUUAUCACUUCACAAUGAAGAACGAAGGUUGGGGGAUCAAAGAGGAUCAGAUACCCUCGUCGUCCCAUUAAUUACAUCAAACGAUGGGUUCUCAAUUGCAAUUUCUUUUUAGAUAUUUGCAUUAAUGACCUCAGCCUACUAAAUUAUAUAACUAAGUAUUAACUUGGCUUGAGCUCGUAUUUCGAUACGCUCGCCAUAAUUUACAUUAGCUUUUUUAAUUUAUGUACGGUCUCAAUUGAAGACAUUAUGCAUUCUGUUAUGUAUUCUAUGCGUGUCUCGCAAACAAAUUCUCAAUUAUCACUGCCUUCUUUGGGCAAGUGAAAUUGGUCUAUGCGACACUUGACUUUCGGAGCUUUGCGCUCAAUUCUGGUGAGAUGUAAGCAUCUAUGUUAAUGAUACCCGCAGCGUAUACCUUUGGGUAUUUCGUCUGUCGUGUUUUGUAUCUUAACAAUUAAUAAUAAUGAUGUGAAGCACGCUUUAGGCACGCGCUUACUGCAGAAAUGUCUGAGACAUUCCCCUCCGGGGGUAGUAUGCACGCAAGUGUGAAACUUGAAGGAAUUGACGGAAGGGCACCACAAGAACGCGUGGAGCAUGUGGCUUAAUUU
RNAcentral lists this ribosomal RNA (820 nucleotides) under Rosalina orbicularis. Its description in RNAcentral is "bacterial SSU rRNA". It matches the Rfam family "Eukaryotic small subunit ribosomal RNA", at positions 915 to 1196 of the family's 1831-position model. Lineage: Eukaryota; Foraminifera; Rotaliida; Rosalinidae. The record is from RNAcentral.